CAGGAUGAACGCUGGCGGCGUGCAUAAUACAUGCAAGUCGAGCGACAGACGAGGAGCUUGCUCCUCUGACGUUAGCGGCGGACGGGUGAGUAACACGUGGAUAACCUACCUAUAAGACUGGGAUAACUUCGGGAAACCGGAGCUAAUACCGGAUAAUAUAUUGAACCGCAUGGUUCAAUAGUGAAAGACGGUUUUGCUGUCACUUAUAGAUGGAUCCGCGCCGCAUUAGCUAGUUGGUAAGGUAACGGCUUACCAAGGCAACGAUGCGUAGCCGACCUGAGAGGGUGAUCGGCCACACUGGAACUGAGACACGGUCCAGACUCCUACGGGAGGCAGCAGUAGGGAAUCUUCCGCAAUGGGCGAAAGCCUGACGGAGCAACGCCGCGUGAGUGAUGAAGGUCUUCGGAUCGUAAAACUCUGUUAUUAGGGAAGAACAAAUGUGUAAGUAACUAUGCACGUCUUGACGGUACCUAAUCAGAAAGCCACGGCUAACUACGUGCCAGCAGCCGCGGUAAUACGUAGGUGGCAAGCGUUAUCCGGAAUUAUUGGGCGUAAAGCGCGCGUAGGCGGUUUUUUAAGUCUGAUGUGAAAGCCCACGGCUCAACCGUGGAGGGUCAUUGGAAACUGGAAAACUUGAGUGCAGAAGAGGAAAGUGGAAUUCCAUGUGUAGCGGUGAAAUGCGCAGAGAUAUGGAGGAACACCAGUGGCGAAGGCGACUUUCUGGUCUGUAACUGACGCUGAUGUGCGAAAGCGUGGGGAUCAAACAGGAUUAGAUACCCUGGUAGUCCACGCCGUAAACGAUGAGUGCUAAGUGUUAGGGGGUUUCCGCCCCUUAGUGCUGCAGCUAACGCAUUAAGCACUCCGCCUGGGGAGUACGACCG
This 881-nucleotide ribosomal RNA is filed under the name Staphylococcus epidermidis. RNAcentral describes it as "bacterial SSU rRNA". It matches the Rfam family "Bacterial small subunit ribosomal RNA", at positions 25 to 888 of the family's 1533-position model. Lineage: Bacteria; Bacillati; Bacillota; Bacilli; Caryophanales; Staphylococcaceae. The record is from RNAcentral.